GACGAACGCUGGCGGCGUGCCUAAUACAUGCAAGUAGAACGCUGAAGAGAGGAGUUUGCUCUUCUCGGAUGAGUCGCGAACGGGUGAGUAACGCGUAGGUAACCUGCCUUGUAGCGGGGGAUAACCAUUGGAAACGAUAGCUAAUACCGCAUAACAAUGGACGACAUAUGUCAUUUAUUUGAAAGGGGCAAUUGCUCCACUACAAGAUGGACCUGCGUUGUAUUAGCUAGUAGGUGAGGUAAUGGCUCACCUAGGCGACGAUACAUAGCCGACCUGAGAGGGUGAUCGGCCACACUGAGACUGAGACACGGCCCAGACUCCUACGGGAGGCAGCAGUAGGGAAUCUUCGGCAAUGGGGGCAACCCUGACCGAGCAACGCCGCGUGAGUGAAGAAGGUUGUCGGGUCGUAAAGCUCUGUUGUAAGUCAAGAACGGGUGUGAGAGUGGAAAGUUCACACUGUGACGGUAGCUUACCAGAAAGGGACGGCUAACUACGUA
This 497-nucleotide ribosomal RNA is filed under the name uncultured bacterium. RNAcentral's name for it is "partial 16S ribosomal RNA". It matches the Rfam family "Bacterial small subunit ribosomal RNA", at positions 28 to 507 of the family's 1533-position model. The record is from RNAcentral.